This 459-nucleotide ribosomal RNA is filed under the name uncultured bacterium. Its description in RNAcentral is "partial 16S ribosomal RNA". It matches the Rfam family "Bacterial small subunit ribosomal RNA", at positions 338 to 795 of the family's 1533-position model. The record is from RNAcentral.
CCUACGGGUGGCAGCAGUGAGGAAUAUUGGUCAAUGGGCGCUAGCCUGAACCAGCCAAGUCGCGUGAAGGAUGACUGCCCUACGGGUUGUAAACUUCUUUUAUAUGGGAAUAAAGUGCAGUAUGUAUACUGCUUUGCAUGUACCUUAUGAAUAAGGAUCGGCUCACUCCGUGCCAGCCGCCGCGGUAAUACGGAGGAUACGAGCGUUUUCCGGAUUUAUUGGGUUUAAAGGGAGCGUAGGCGGGUUGUUAAGGCAGCGGUAAAAUCUUGGGGCUCAACCCCAUCCAGCCGUUGAAACUGGGGAUCUAGAGUGUGCGAGAGGUAUGCGGAAUGCGUGGUGUAGCGGUGAAAUGCAUAGAUAUCACGCAGAACCCCGAUUGCGAAGGCAGCAUACCGGUGCACAACUGACGCUGAGGCACGAAAGCGUGGGUAUCGAACAGGAUUAGAUACCCCAGUAGUC